AGGGAUAACUCAAGGGUUAAAACUUCAGUUAAGUUUCCCUGCUCUGGGUUCCCCUCCCACAACAGCAUGGGAGCUGUCUUCUCUAUCUCUCUCUCUCUCUCAUAAAUCACUUUUCUGCAAAACUCUUUGGGUCCACAAUUUUAUUCAGACAGUAAACUCACCGUGCCUCCAAGGCCCCUUUCCCCUUUCUCUGGGGAUAGAGAGGCCAAGGACCUAUGAGCUAUGGGAGCUGGGUACACACCCCGGGUUACAUCUGUUGGCAAGCCAGCCAGGAGAUGUCGGAAUUCAGAGUGAUGGGUGCCACCCUUCCAAGGCAAAAUCACUCUUAAAGUGUAUCCUGGAUAACUGGGACCAAUUCGACCCACAAUCUUUGAAGAAGAAGUGGCUCAUUUUUUCUGCCAAACAGUGUGGCUGUGAUACUCUCUGCUGAGUGGAGAAACCUGGCCUCCUAAAGGAAAAUUGAGGCCAUGAGGCUACAAAUGGUCCUGCAAAUGGAACCCCAAAUGUCCUUGACUCAUAAGUUCUAUCGUGGGCCUCUGGAUCGAUCUGCACCCCUGGAAGACUCCCCUCUGGGAAAACCUGAACUGUAGAGCUCCUUCUAUGCCCCAAUUCAGCAGGAAGUAGUUAAAGAGCGAUCGACACCCAUGUCCCAACAGCAGUUGGACUUGCCUGUUCAGAGGUGAAACUGAGGGACUGUGUUAAAGAAACUUCUCUUCCCAGGUCCACUAGGGGAGGGGCUCCAAAUGCAGGAAUUUCCUGGCUCCAUACCUCGGUUGGAGACCAGAAGGGUUUCAAAUUUAAAGUUCCUUGUCUGGCUUUCCCACAUGCAGGCCAGGUAGGGAAAGCCAACUAGAACUCUUUUGUCCCAAAUUCCCACUGAAAGCUCUGGGAGAAGGAGGUUCUAUAACUCAAGAUUGUAGACCAAAUAGCCAAUCCUGUAUCGGAGUCAAAGGUCAAUUACUCAGAGGAAGUCUGAAAGAACUCCUCUCACUGGACCAGAACAUGAACAGAAAGGGAAUAACUCAAGGGUCAAAACUUUAGCUGCUCCUACCUAAGCAGAUUUCCCGCUCUGGGUUCCCCUCCCACAACAGCAUGGGAGCUGUUUCUCUCUCUCACUCUCUCUCUCUCUCUCUCUCUCUCUCUCUCUCUCUCUCUUUCUCUCUCUCUCUCUCUCUCUCUCUCUCUCUCUCAUAAAUUGCAUUUCUGCAAAACUCUUUGGAUCCACAAUUUUAUUUGGACGGGAAACUCACCGUGCCUCUGGGGCCCCUUUCCCCAUUCUUCCCAGUUAGAGAAGCCAAGGACCUAUGAGCUCUGGGAGCUGGGUAUACUCCCCUGGUCACAAUAGCACUGACAACAGAGGCAAGGCUGGUACAGGGGAGGGAUGGAGUGCCUUUCAUUCACUUCUUUUUCUACAACAGAUUGCCUCAAUAUGGUUCAGAUACUAAUAUACAUUAAUAGAAAUACUUGUUAAAUUAUCCUUCUUGCCCAGUAAUUUUUCUUUGAACAUAAGCUUAAUUCUAAAA
Long non-coding RNA from Callithrix jacchus (white-tufted-ear marmoset), 1523 nucleotides. RefSeq lists it as uncharacterized. The record is from RefSeq and is a predicted model, not a curated record. NCBI's taxonomy places the organism in Eukaryota, Metazoa, Chordata, Mammalia, Primates, Cebidae.